Molecule: ribosomal RNA, 384 nt
Filed under: uncultured eukaryote
Lineage: Eukaryota
Description: SSU rRNA
Rfam family: Eukaryotic small subunit ribosomal RNA
Source: RNAcentral
AGCUCCAAUAGCGUAUAUUAAAGUUGUUGCAGUUAAAAAGCUCGUAGUUGGAUUUCUGGCGGGAGUGAUCGGUCCGGCUCUCAGAGUUGGUACUCGCAUCCUCUCCUGCCAUCUUUCAGAAAAAUCUAUCUGGCAUUAAGUUGUCGGGUAGGGGAUUCUGAUCUUUUACUGUGAAAAAAUUAGAGUGUUCAAAGCAGGCUUAUGCCGUUGAAUAUAUUAGCAUGGAAUAAUAAGAUAGGACUAUGGUACUAUUUUGUUGGUUUGUGCACCAUGGUAAUGAUUAAUAGGGACAGUUGGGGGUAUUCGUAUUCCAUUGUCAGAGGUGAAAUUCUUGGAUUUAUGGAAGACGAACUACUGCGAAAGCAUUUACCAAGGAUGUUUUCA